Molecule: ribosomal RNA, 253 nt
Filed under: uncultured bacterium
Lineage: Bacteria
Description: partial 16S ribosomal RNA
Rfam family: Bacterial small subunit ribosomal RNA
Source: RNAcentral
UACGUAGGGUGCAAGCGUUAAUCGGAAUUACUGGGCGUAAAGCGUGCGCAGGCGGUUGUGCAAGACAGAUGUGAAAUCCCCGGGCUUAACCUGGGAAUUGCAUUUGUGACUGCACGGCUAGAGUGUGUCAGAGGGGGGUAGAAUUCCACGUGUAGCAGUGAAAUGCGUAGAUAUGCGGAGGAACACCGAUGGCGAAGGCAAUCCCCUGGGCCUGUACUGACGCUCAUGCACGAAAGCGUGGGGAGCAAACAGG